Molecule: small nucleolar RNA, 132 nt
Organism: Acomys russatus (golden spiny mouse)
Lineage: Eukaryota; Metazoa; Chordata; Mammalia; Rodentia; Muridae
Product: small nucleolar RNA SNORA17
Exons: 1
Source: RefSeq, a predicted model, not a curated record
CCUAUCCCAAGAGGCAUUUCAGGCAUGGCUGCUGUGUCCCAUGUGUGUUGGUUGGUGGUGGAGAGGAGAGAGGUUAUGUCUAAGCUCAGUGUUCUGACCUAUGAACCUCUGAUUGAUUAGUAGCCUAACAUU